Non-coding RNA from Sus scrofa (pig), 624 nucleotides. The record is from RefSeq and is a predicted model, not a curated record. Lineage: Eukaryota; Metazoa; Chordata; Mammalia; Artiodactyla; Suidae.
GGUGAUACUGCAACAAGAAAUGAGAUGGAUUCAAUUCCUACCUCAUAGCUUAGAGUCUAGUGGGAGUAGACCAAUGAGUAUUCAGAUGGUGUGUUACACACCCUAUAAUAGGAAACCCAGGGAGCUGUGGGCAGUAGGUAAGGACCAGGUAGCUCAGACUGGAGGGAAUGCUCUCUGCACUGGACCCGGAAGAGGAACGGACAUUGGCGGGAAGCAGACAACUUGUUCCUGGAGAGACAUGAAUUUCCAAUGGGCCCUAAUGAAUGCUGGAGGAAAAUCCAUCACUGUCUUGAACUAGCAUGUUACAAGUGCUGAGUAAUACUGUUUGCUGGAUGUAUCACAGUUUAUUUAUCUAUCCAUCUACUGAAGGACAUCUCGAUUGCCUCUAAGUUUUGUACUGCUGAGGAUGCCAUAACAGAGAAAAAGUCACCAGAGUUUCUGCAGUGCCAGAUCUACUGGUCCUCAAUCUUCAUCCUGCUUCAUCACUUUUUUAGCCUCUGGCAUUAUUCUUUUUAAUGUGCACUUUUAAUAGUUGAAUAAUAUUACAUGGAAAAAUUUACCAUGAAUUCAAUUUUCUUCUGAUUUUAAUAAUUAUAGAGAUUACAAAUAAACCACUAUAAUUAU